AGUGAACGCUGGCGGUAGGCCUAACACAUGCAAGUCGAACGGCAGCACAGUAAGAGCUUGCUCUUACGGGUGGCGAGUGGCGGACGGGUGAGGAAUACAUCGGAAUCUACUUUUUCGUGGGGGAUAACGUAGGGAAACUUACGCUAAUACCGCAUACGACCUACGGGUGAAAGCAGGGGAUCUUCGGACCUUGCGCGAUUGAAUGAGCCGAUGUCGGAUUAGCUAGUUGGCGGGGUAAAGGCCCACCAAGGCGACGAUCCGUAGCUGGUCUGAGAGGAUGAUCAGCCACAAUGGGACUGAGACACGGUCCAGACUCCUACGGGAGGCAGCAGUGGGGAAUAUUGGACAAUGGGCGCAAGCCUGAUCCAGCCAUACCGCGUGGGUGAAGAAGGCCUUCGGGUUGUAAAGCCCUUUUGUUGGGAAAGAAAAGCAGCAGGUUAAUACCCCGCUGUUCUGACGGUACCCAAAGAAUAAGCACCGGCUAACUUCGU
This 491-nucleotide ribosomal RNA is filed under the name uncultured bacterium. RNAcentral's name for it is "partial 16S ribosomal RNA". It matches the Rfam family "Bacterial small subunit ribosomal RNA", at positions 29 to 506 of the family's 1533-position model. The record is from RNAcentral.